Molecule: long non-coding RNA, 1394 nt
Filed under: Equus caballus (horse)
Lineage: Eukaryota; Metazoa; Chordata; Mammalia; Perissodactyla; Equidae
Description: lncRNA (ENSECAG00000055479.1)
Source: RNAcentral
CCAACAGCCCUGGGAAGAAGUGUGUGACAACGGUUCCAAUGCUUUGUGAUCUUUCUUCUUCCUUUUUCUUUCUUUCCUUCCUUCCUUCCUUUCCUUUGACAAGAGAUUUUCACAUAUUGAGGUAUAUGGGGUAACUACUUGAGUUCAAAACUGCUUCGGCUUGGACUAGAAAGCCUGUCUUAUGGCCUGUCAAACAUACAUUGUAAUGCAUACUUCCCCUCCUAUGCCCUAUUGGUAACAACACCCUAUUGGUAAUGCCCCAGAUUAGUCCCUUUCCUGGCAUCUUGGUCAUGUUGACCUGCUGAUUUGCAACUGAAUGUCUCUUUGAAAAUGUAUCCUGGGCGUGUUUAAUGUAUCGUCUUUGUUCUAAAAAGAUAUAAGUCUGUACUGAAACUCAUGCUUCUCUGGAACGCCUUCCAAGCCCUUCCCAGGUUAUAAUCCUCACUUUGGCUCAUAAUAAACUCACCCCAAUUUUGAUUUAUAGGUUGGUUAUGGAUUAUUUGCAUCAACACUUUCUAACAGAAUUUCUUCAGAUGAGUUAUAUAAGAAGUGGAACAGCUGACGUUUACUGCAUGCUUGCUAUGUUCAGGAACUAUGUGUUUUAGGCACCUGACAAGCAUUUUCUCUUUAAUGUUAUUAUCUCCGAUAUGCAGAUGAGAAAACUGAGGGGCAGAAAGGGAAGUAACUCAAACCAGAUCACCAGUUAGUAAAAUGUAGUCUAGGAUUUAAACCCAGGCAGGCGGACUUCAGUUGACGCUCCUGACUCAUUGCUACCUUGCUUUCCUUUAAUGCAAAAUGAGCAAAAAAAUACCUUCAUUUUUAUAUUGUCCAGCAAAUUGGUAGUAGGCAGAGUUUUUAGGAAAACACAGUUCUCACCUUUUGGGGAUCUCACCAAUAUUAUGGGUGAGCCCUUUCUCUGAACUGGGUGUGGUUUUCAUUUUCAAAGACAGAUCAGCAAAACCAAAAGACAAGCCAAGAAAAGAUCGCCUUGUAGUUCUUUUUAUUUUCCAUCCAGCACAGGGCUAAGUUACCUUCAGAUAUUGUCCACACAGGUUUCAGCCCCUGACUGGCAAGAUCUCUUCCUCCUGUCAAGUGUCUGGACACUGCUGGUCUCUGUUGUUAAGGUCUGAACACACAGGAAGUCUCCUCAACCCACAGCUAAACUCUAUGGACACAAGCGGCAGAAGGUUUCAGAGGUGUGAAGUUUUUGACCCCUCUUACUACUUCCUCUGGGAAGAACUAACAGGCAGUGGCAGCAUGGAAUCAUAACUCAUUGAAUCACAACUCUGUCGUCUCAGUGCUGGCGGGCUCAACAGUUAGGUACCUCGCCAAAUCAAACAGCAGGCAACUUUAACUCCUGGACUGAGAAAUUUCUCACAGAAAUUCUUUAAGCA